CGGCUAGACAGUUCUGACUCGGUUCCACAUGUACACUUGUUGUAACUGUAAGUACACGUAGAGUUUAAAUUGUUUACCCAGUUAUCAAAAGUAUUAAAUGUCAAGGAUUCUGUACGUUAAGAUACAAACUUUGUAUAUUCUAUUGAGUUUUAUAGGUGAAAAUCCACUAAACAUGAGAAAAACGCAUGACCUUGACCUAUAUAAAUACGCCGCAUAUUUAAUGUAGAUAGCAUGACCCAGUGAGGACAACCGAAUGUUUUGUGAUUUAUUUAGUUUUAACAUUCAUGGAACAUUUUCAACACAAUACAUUAUUAUUUUUUUCUUAACCAAGGAUUCGUAUAGAAAGCCUGGUGUAUUCGUACUCUGAGUCAGCCGACUUUCUUCUUCCCAGUUAGAGUGGGGGGCCCAUAUUCGCCGGCAUAGGCGGAUUAGGGGGCCCCGGGGCCCGGGCCCCCCUUUUGGGAAAAAAAUUUGUUGCUUAUAUAGGGAAAUCACUGAAGCGUUGACUGGAGCGGGCCCCUCUUAGGUCAUCAGUUGGCCCCCACUUAUGAAAAUUUCUGAUCCGCCACUGGCGGGACACAAUUCGCCGUUUUAUGAUUUUAGUGUAAACUUCAAAGAUGGUUGAAAUGAAGGAAUAUGCCAGUAAAUAUAAUUUAUAACAAAUAUGAUUAUUUUUAAACUUAAACAAAAUUACGGUCACUUACUGCAAAAGAUCUCUAAAACGGACAACGAUUUUCGGUAAUUUCCUAAAUAAACAGGAUUUUUAUAGAUUUUUUUGUUAGCAAUUUUUUUGACUUGGCCUAAUUUCUUUUUACACCUUUAAAUGUCUGCUGUUCAUCUAUGAUGAAAUUAUUGAUAAAUAUUAUAAACUGAGUUAUUUGGUUUUAAAUAGAUGUUAAAAACGGCGAAUAUGGUUCCCCAUGACAAAACUUCAGGGAAAUUUCAAACACCUUUUAAUCUAACUUUACAGAUGAUUAUUUUCAACAAAACAUGUUUUCAAGCUUAGGAAGUUUGCAUUUGAAGUUAUCUUCAUAUAGAAAUAUCAGUAUACUUCAAAAACAUAUAGACCUGAACAUAAACUGUAGAAAACUGUAGAAAGAUAUGGCGAAAAUGAGCACCCCACUCUACCAGUCGAACUCUUAUUAACCAUCUCUGUGCCAUGGGCCACUUUUGGGCCAUUUUUUUCAUACUACGUUCGGUGCCAAUGGGCCACUUUUUGGCCAUUGUUUUUUUUUUUACUCUGAUGCUAUGAAAUGUACUAUGACGUAACGUCAUUGUCCGUGCGCCUUUGAAAUGCACAAAGCACGCCAAAUUAUUGGAAUAUUGUUAUUUCUUGAAAAGUUGCGUAUGUUAAAUACACAACUGAAAAAUAGUUUAUUAAUAAGAUAAUAUAUUUUUCUAAUAAAUCAAAUUGUGCUUUAUGUCUUUUAUACAUAUCUUUUUUAUUCUCUCAACCUUUAGUUUAGCUAUCAUAAUCUAUUUCGCUUUCAUUAUUGUAUAUCUUUUAUUUUCUUUGCAAGCUGAGGACAUUAUAACUUAUCUACGUGCAUAUCCGUAGACAUGGAUAUUUUAACACCCUGAAUUAUCAGGAACACCCUGAGGUAUCAAUCUAAAUCUGGCGAUUUUUAUAGAAGUUCGUCCACAAAGUUUAAAGUGAAAGCAACAGGUUUUUUUUUUUCCUUUUUUAUAUAUCUUUUAUUGAAAUUUGACUUAUUUUUAACGGGAUGUAGGUUUCACUAAGCCGGGGAUAAAAAUUUUUGACAGUAUACCCUUGAAUUUCACAUGGCACCUUUUCAACUGAUUUUUAAUAAAAAAAAAAAAAAAUCUUUAAAAAAUAGACUGGAACAUGUUUUAGGUAGAGGUAGGUUAAAUGCAUAUUUAUGACGAGGAGAUGGUAUAUGAGAUUUGAGUAUUUACCAAGCUUUGUAAUAAACUGACUCGCUGGGUCGGUUUAUUUUACUUGCUAGUUCAAAAAAUAAGUAUAAAACUCUGUUGUAAAACAAGUUACCCUACACAAACACAUAAUUUUUACUUCUUUAUUUCUAAACAGCGCGUGCUUACAGAAAAGCAGCAAGUAUACCAAUUUUAAAGUUUUUAAGUUUUGACCAGGCGAAAAGCUUGAAUCCAUGACCUCGUUUUGAAGAAUCAGUGCCAUAACUUUUAGAAUUUAUCUUAGUAAAUCUUCAAUUUUAUUUAUAUAAGAGAUACAUGCAACGGCGGGCACCUGUGGAGCAGUAUCGACUUCCCUUUCUGUUUCGGUAAAGGGUUUUUGUUAGUCAGUCUUCAGUUUUUGAAUUGUUUUUGAAGACUUGUUCUUUGUCUUUUUGUCGUUUUAUUAAAAUUUCAUUACUCGGAGUUUAUUUCCGUUGUCUAGGACAGCCUUUUUGUUGGGCUUAAAUGAAGAACGAUUUUCUUCGUGCUCUUUCGCAAAAUGAAAACAUUAUAGAAUGUGUCCCUUGAGAGCGUAUAAAAUGUAUAUCCACGUGAACUUGAUAUGGUAUGUUUUAUCAUGUUCGGCAUGUUCCUGUUUUGGCGAAAAGUUCCUGUAAAAUUUGCGCCGAGUUGUAAAAGAUGUUUAGCAAGCGAUGUAGAAGUAAAGACGUUGUGACAUACAACAUUGGUAUUUUUUACGAAGUAAUAUGAAUAAGAAGAUGUGGUAUGAGUGUCAAUGAGACAUUAAUUCUCCAUCAAUUCAAAAUGUAUAAAAAAUUUAAAAAUUAAAGAUCAUAGUACACAGAACAAAACGGUACAGCGCUCCCGAAAUAACUCGUGUAAAAUAAUUCAAGCAGGAAAACCAACGGUCUAAUCUUAAGGAAUUAAAAAAAAUCGAGAGAAACAUCUAACCACAUCAACAAACAACAACCACUGAACAACAACCCUUGGGUUGACAUGGUGGUAUUGGAUUGACUGCACGCCUUUACUGUCUAUAUACUAUAUAUGUACAUGUACAAAAAAGUAUAUAUACUAUAGUGAGCAUGAUAUAUCCUGACACUGAUUCUACCAGCAUCCAAACUUUUACCUCGAAAUAAAACUUUUGAUGGAAUGCAUUGCAGCAUGCAUGUUUGACUGCGAGUUCUUACUAAUUGACGUUUGAAUAAAUCCGAAAUUUUGCUGUCGGAAUAGAGUUUUGAUUGUUUCUACCGGGAAGGUUAUCAUUGUUAGUUAGGUGAGAAUUAAAAAUUAGUUGAGAUAUUUUGCGACUAAACAUUCAAGUUCUUAAAACAUUUGGUUUCUGGGCUUAGCAAUGUAAUGUUCCACUAUUCAGAUAUCGACGCUAUGAGUAUGUAUCGUACAAGGAAAGGAGAAUUAAUGUUCUUUCAAAGUAGAAUUGUUCACUGUGAAAAAUUUAAAAUGUAUACGAACUGCCUCGAGAUUUACUGACGAUCACAUUUUGCAAGAACCGCAAAAGUGGAUUUUUCAUCGUCAUUUGCAUUCAUUUCGUAUAAUUAUAUACAAACCACAACUCUUCAGCCUUUAAGUUACAAAUCUUCGAAAAUUGACACAAAAGUUGUAUGAAAUAAACAUUGUGAAUGCAAAAGUAGAAACAAGACAAGCAAAACGUUCGUGGUAGAAAUGACCAAGUACCUGAAUCAAAAUUAUAAGAUAUUAUCUACGUGAAUAUCAUCGGAUUAUAAUUUAUUCAUGUAAUUUUUACAUGUUCUAUCAAUAACUGUUGUUCUUAACGCCUUUAGUUGCAAAAUAAAUCACAGAUCACAUGAUGUAUACGGAAAAACUGUCUGCGAAUAAUAACUACAAGGAAGACGAUAUAAUUCAAUUGCAGUACAUGUACAUGUAUAUCAUUGAAAUAUUGACAAAAUAAAAGAUUUUCGUAAAAAGUAUAUGUAUGAACUUUUAUACGUUUUUUAUUUGAAAAAUCAGCUAUUAAGUUAAAAAAAAAACAUGUUUUCAUUUUUUGUUCAAUUUGAAGUUUUAUAACACUUUAAAAAUCUUUAUUAAAGAAGAAUGUAUGUAAAUAUGGUAAAAACUGUGCUUAUUCGCGAAAAAAAUCAAUAUUUGGACUUUUCCGUAAAUUUUUAUUUUCCCCGCGUUUUUCCGCUAACACUUUCUUGCAGUUCGCCUACACUAUGACGUUAGGGCAUAGUAACGUCAUAAUACAGAGCCAGUCUGGGUGGAAAAACAUACCUUGGCACUGAACGUCUAUUUUUACGAUUUCGCCGUGGCAUUGAAAGGCAAUGAAGGGUUAAGUAAGUUUUUUUUUUUUUUUUUUAUUUUGAUUCAAGAGUUAAGCCUGCCAAUUAAUAUUUUAUUGUAUGUUUUCUAUGUUGUGAUGUUAUGCUAUUGUUUCAGAAAAAGGGAGAAGGUUUGGAUCUAUUAAAACGUUUAAUCCCGCUGCAAAUGUUUAUGUAAUUCAUACAUGUUUCUCGUUUUUUAAAAAAAUUUUAUAUAGAUUAGACCGUUGGUUUUCCCAUUUGAAUGGUUUUACACUAGGGGAAUUUUAGGCCCUUUAUAGUUUGUUGUUCGGUGUCAGCCAAGGCUCUGUGUUGAAGGCUGUACAUUGACCUAUAAUGGUUUACUUUUUUAAAAUUGUUAUUUGGAUGGAGAGUUUUCUCAUUGGCACUCACACCACAUCUUCCUAUAUCUAAGUAAGUAAAUUUUAUUUAGAGUCGGCAUAUAUAUACAAAAUAACAGUCAAAACAUGAGCUCUGGUGAGCUCUUUAACCUACUAUCACAUUAAAAAUCAUGCAGCAUCAUGCAAGUUCUACCAAAUUAAAAUGAAAGCAAAUCUAUUUGAUUUGUGAGCCUCCAGAGUCAAAGUUCAUGUGGCAAGCACCUCUUUGUGCAUUGAAACGGGGGAAUCAGCAAAUCACUUGAAGAUCAUAAAAUAUAACAGACUAAAAGCAUGAAAACAAUAAAUAAAUAAAUAUAAGCACUAGCAUUUAAUGGCAGAUAUAUUCAAUAAAUGCAUAAAGAGGCCAUUAUAAAAAGAAAGAAAGAAAUUUCAGCUUUGAGACAGCACUUGGUGGAAACGACAUGAACUGUAGUAACAUUUUUGACCCCCACACCAGGAAUUUAUAUAAUUCCUAAACUGGUCAAAAGAAGUCAUGAGUCUAGCCUCAUUAGGAAGUGAGUUCCAGACUUGUGCUGCCUCACAUCUAAAGGAUCUUUUACCAUAACUUGAGGUUCUAGGUCUAGGUACCUCAGCAGUGCUUAACAUACCUGAAAUUAUAUGAAUUGUUUUUUAUUACAACUAAAUCUUGAAUAAAUAAAAGACAUUUUUAUUGAUUAUUUUAAAGGUCUCCAAGGCAAUUGAGGGCAUUCUACGAGUUUUUAAUGAUGGAAGAGUUGAAAUCUGCAGGAGUGUUUCGUAUGAGCUCUGAUGGUCUUCAUAAAUAAAUCGAAGUGCUCGUUCUUGUAUUUUUUCUAUUUUCCUGGUAUUUUGUUCCCCACAGAAAAUGAGAAAUGCCAAGUCAAAG
RNAcentral lists this long non-coding RNA (5435 nucleotides) under Mytilus galloprovincialis (Mediterranean mussel). The record is from RNAcentral. Lineage: Eukaryota; Metazoa; Mollusca; Bivalvia; Mytilida; Mytilidae.